CCCCCCCCACCCCAACCCCCGCCGCCAGACCGCCCAGGCGACAGCAGCACCGGCCUCUGCUCUCUCCCUCUCGCCACCCCCAUGCUUUCUCUCUCUCUUCCUUCCACUCCCUCGCCAUCACCCCCCAAAACUCCGCCCUCUCUCUCUUCCCCCAUCUCUUUUUCUCCUCGUCACCACGCCGCUUCAAGAUCAGCUUAUCCACAUGCACAAAUACAAGGCUCAUUUGCUGCCACCGUUAGCUGUUAAUGGAAUUUGAGGGCUAGAAUCGACGACGGUGGCCUUCGCCGUGGUCGCCGAAAAUUGAAGUUGGGGCCGCGAUUUGGGUGUCUAGUUUGGAGGCCUAGGGCUCCGAUGGUGGCGGCCCUAUCGCUGACUAAUCAGAGCAAGAAAGAGGGGAGAAAUAGAGGGGUGAUCGGAGAAGAAGGUGAAAUUAUAUAUCGACGUCAAUUCUUCCCUUUGUUCUGUACUUUUAAGAAGGAUAAAAUUAUCGAAGAGCUACAAUUGUUGUAGAAUUUCUUGUGUUGGCUUGAA
Molecule: long non-coding RNA, 531 nt
Organism: Salvia miltiorrhiza (redroot sage)
Lineage: Eukaryota; Viridiplantae; Streptophyta; Magnoliopsida; Lamiales; Lamiaceae
Exons: 2
Source: RefSeq, a predicted model, not a curated record